GGGUACCUGCGGAGGGAUCAUUACACAAAUAUGAAGGCGGGCUGGAACCUCUCGGGGUUACAGCCUUGCUGAAUUAUUCACCCUUGUCUUUUGCGUACUUCUUGUUUCCUUGGUGGGUUCGCCCACCACUAGGACAAACAUAAACCUUUUGUAAUUGCAAUCAGCGUCAGUAACAAAUUAAUAAUUACAACUUUCAACAACGGAUCUCUUGGUUCUGGCAUCGAUGAAGAACGCAGCGAAAUGCGAUAAGUAGUGUGAAUUGCAGAAUUCAGUGAAUCAUCGAAUCUUUGAACGCACAUUGCGCCCUUUGGUAUUCCAAAGGGCAUGCCUGUUCGAGCGUCAUUUGUACCCUCAAGCUUUGCUUGGUGUUGGGCGUCUUGUCUCUAGCUUUGCUGGAGACUCGCCUUAAAGUAAUUGGCAGCCGGCCUACUGGUUUCGGAGCGCAGCACAAGUCGCACUCUCUAUCAGCAAAGGUCUAGCAUCCACUAAGCCUUUUUUCAACUUUUGACCUCGAUCAGGUAGGAUCCAGGGUCCC
This 535-nucleotide ribosomal RNA is filed under the name fungal sp. RNAcentral describes it as "eukaryotic LSU rRNA". The stretch from base 189 to 342 matches the Rfam family "5.8S ribosomal RNA". The record is from RNAcentral. Lineage: Eukaryota; Fungi.